This is a long non-coding RNA of Schistocerca gregaria, 701 nucleotides long. RefSeq lists it as uncharacterized. The transcript is spliced from 3 exons. NCBI's taxonomy places the organism in Eukaryota, Metazoa, Arthropoda, Insecta, Orthoptera, Acrididae. The record is from RefSeq and is a predicted model, not a curated record.
AACAGAUUCUGUGGCGCAGUAGCUACUCGGCACCGGACCUGCAAGCAACCAUCUUCCGUGUGUCAGACUACAGCCACAGCUACAGUUGCGGGAAUCGAACCUUCGCACUACCAAAUCUGUUUUCUGAGGGAAUAACUCGACUGCAGGUGCGAGAUAGUGUCCUUGUGUUUUUCGAAGACUGUUUGGCAUUAAGGCUCGUCGCAAACAGUAAAGUGGAAUAUCAAGACCGACGCAUCUUCUCAUGCGCAACAGGUGCUCUCAUGGGAAAUCUGGUGAUAUGUCCUUGUUGGUGGCGAGCGCCAAGUGUCACACCUAGCCACAUGAGCGACAUCAGCCUGAGCAGUGGUUGCCCAAUGGAGUGGCCAUUCAGUGAGGGCGAGGAGCACGAUGAGGAAGAAGAGACUUGGUCUUGGCAGACCAAGAUAGGAGGUGACAGUAGGUCUCCACCGAGAGCUGACACCUGGAGGUGGCAUCUGGAGCAGAGGCUGGUGGCAGAGGAACAGAGAAUGAUGAGCAGCAACAACAAGCUGACCACUUCCAACUGACUCUGAUCUUGCAGUAACAUCUCAUGAAAUGGCACUUGAUCACUCUACUCUAUGCAGAGUCCAUCAGACUAGAAGGCCAACAUAACAGCAUAUCUUUACUGAGCCUAUGUAAUGUGGAAUCUGUUUUUAUCAAAUAUAUGAAAUUAUGUGAGUCUU